Molecule: ribosomal RNA, 236 nt
Filed under: uncultured bacterium
Lineage: Bacteria
Description: partial 16S ribosomal RNA
Rfam family: Bacterial small subunit ribosomal RNA
Source: RNAcentral
CGGCACGGGUGAGUAACACGUAUCCAACCUGCCGUCUACUCUUGGACAGCCUUCUGAAAGGAAGAUUAAUCCAAGAUGGCAUCAUGAGUCCACAUGUUCACAUGAUUAAAGGUAUUCCGGUAGACGAUGGGGAUGCGUUCCAUUAGAUAGUAGGCGGGGUAACGGCCCACCUAGUCUUCGAUGGAUAGGGGUUCUGAGAGGAAGGUCCCCCACAUUGGAACUGAGACACGGUCCAA